RNAcentral lists this transfer RNA (77 nucleotides) under Methanobrevibacter sp. Its description in RNAcentral is "tRNA-Asn". It matches the Rfam family "tRNA". From Rfam's summary of the family: Transfer RNA (tRNA) molecules are approximately 80 nucleotides in length. Their secondary structure includes four short double-helical elements and three loops (D, anti-codon, and T loops). The record is from RNAcentral. Lineage: Archaea; Methanobacteriati; Methanobacteriota; Methanobacteria; Methanobacteriales; Methanobacteriaceae.
UCCGGUGUGGCGCAAUUCGGUAGCGCGUCAGAUUGUUAAUCUGCGGGUUGCGGGUUCAAGUCCCGUCAUCGGAGCCA